GACGAACGCUGGCGGCGUGCUUAACACAUGCAAGUCGAACGGAAAGGCCCUGCUUUUGUGGGGUGCUCGAGUGGCGAACGGGUGAGUAACACGUGAGUAACCUGCCCUUGACUUUGGGAUAACUUCAGGAAACUGGGGCUAAUAUCGGAUAGGAGCUCCUGCUGCAUGGUGGGGGUUGGAAAGUUUCGGCGGUUGGGGAUGGACUCGCGGCUUAUCAGCUUGUUGGUGGGGUAGUGGCUUACCAAGGCUUUGACGGGUAGCCGGCCAGAGAGGGUGACCGGCCACAUUGGGACUGAGAUACGGCCCAGACUCCUACGGGAGGCAGCAGUGGGGAAUAUUGCACAAUGGGCGGAAGCCUGAUGCAGCAACGCCGCGUGCGGGAUGACGGCCUUCGGGUUGUAAACCGCUUUCGCCUGUGACGAAGCGUGAGUGACGGUAAUGGGUAAAGAAGCACCGGCUAACUACGUG
This 468-nucleotide ribosomal RNA is filed under the name uncultured bacterium. Its description in RNAcentral is "partial 16S ribosomal RNA". It matches the Rfam family "Bacterial small subunit ribosomal RNA", at positions 28 to 507 of the family's 1533-position model. The record is from RNAcentral.